CUUUAUAGCUUGCUGUUCGGUGUCAGCCAAGGCUCCGUGUUGAAGCAUGUACUUUGACCUAUCAUGGUUUACUUUUAUAAAUUGUGACUCGGAUGGAGAGUUGUCUCAUUGGCACUCAUACCACAUCUUCUUAUAUCUAUUCAUAUCAUAUUUCAUUUGUCAUAUUCAUUAUCAUAUCACAUUGAUGCUUGACGAAUGACAAAUCCAAAUCAAACACACAUUUUUACCUGCAUGCUUACUAAUUACCAC
RNAcentral lists this long non-coding RNA (249 nucleotides) under Mytilus galloprovincialis (Mediterranean mussel). Lineage: Eukaryota; Metazoa; Mollusca; Bivalvia; Mytilida; Mytilidae. The record is from RNAcentral.